This 253-nucleotide ribosomal RNA is filed under the name uncultured bacterium. RNAcentral's name for it is "partial 16S ribosomal RNA". It matches the Rfam family "Bacterial small subunit ribosomal RNA", at positions 524 to 776 of the family's 1533-position model. The record is from RNAcentral.
UACGAAAGGAGCAAGCGUUGUUCGGAUUUACUGGGCGUAAAGCGGGCGUAGGUGGCUAAUUAAGUCGGGUGUGAAAUCCCAGGGCUCAACCCUGGAACUGCAUUCGAUACUGGUUGGCUAGAGUUCGGGAGGGGGAUGCGGAAUUCCGAGUGUAGCAGUGAAAUGCGUAGAGAUUCGGAGGAACACCUGAGGCGAAGGCGGCAUCCUGGACCGAUACUGACACUGAGGCCCGAAAGCGUGGGGAGCAAACAGG